Molecule: ribosomal RNA, 301 nt
Filed under: uncultured bacterium
Lineage: Bacteria
Description: partial 16S ribosomal RNA
Rfam family: Bacterial small subunit ribosomal RNA
Source: RNAcentral
CAGCAGCCGCGGGAAUACAGAGGGUGCAAGCGUUAUCCGGAAUGAUUGGGCGUAAAGCGUCUGUAGGUGGCUUUUCAAGUCCGCCGUCAAAUCCCAGGGCUCAACCCUGGACAGGCGGUGGAAACUACCAAGCUGGAGUACGGUAGGGGCAGAGGGAAUUUCCGAUGGAGCGGUGAAAUGCGUUGAGAUCGGAAAGAACACCAACGGAGAAAGCACUCUGCUGGGCCGACACUGACACUGAGAGACGAAAUCUAGGGGAGCAAAUGGGAUUAGAGACCCCGGUAGUCCCUGUCUCUUAUAA